Molecule: ribosomal RNA, 246 nt
Filed under: uncultured bacterium
Lineage: Bacteria
Description: partial 16S ribosomal RNA
Rfam family: Bacterial small subunit ribosomal RNA
Source: RNAcentral
AGUAACGCGUGGGUAACCUGCCUCACACUGGGGGAUAACAGUCAGAAAUGACUGCUAAUACCGCAUAAGCGCACGGGAUUGCAAUGAUCCAGUGUGAAAAACUCCGGUGGUGUGAGAUGGACCCGCGUUGGAUUAGCCAGUUGGCAGGGUAACGGCCUACCAAAGCGACGAUCCAUAGCCGGCCUGAGAGGUGGACGGCCACAUUGGGACUGAGACACGGCCCAGACUCCUACGGGAGGCAGCAUG